UUAAACGGUGGAUUCCAUUUUCUUUUAAUAUUUCACUUCUAUAACAUUCAAUUUUGGGUUUGUGGAGAUUCCACACUAGGCCUUAAGUAUAAGAAUGAAUGGGUCUCGCAGUUUUUUGUUUCUUUUUUUUUUCUUUUAUUUUUUAAAAGUAAUAUUUAUUGUUUUGCAAAUUAAUUAUUGAAUUUAGGUGAUUUAGAAUGAAUCAUUCUUAGAUUCAAUAGUACUAGAGUGGUUGGAUGAAGUAGGGGUGUUGUCCAUACUCUUCACUUAUUUUUUAUUAUUUAUUAU
Molecule: long non-coding RNA, 288 nt
Filed under: Lathyrus oleraceus (garden pea)
Lineage: Eukaryota; Viridiplantae; Streptophyta; Magnoliopsida; Fabales; Fabaceae
Description: Pisum sativum (pea) long non-coding RNA (PSAT_LNC024665)
Source: RNAcentral